UACAGAGGUCUCAAGCGUUGUUCGGAUUCAUUGGGCGUAAAGGGUGCGUAGGCGGCGCGGUAAGUCGGGUGUGAAAUCUCGGGGCUUAACUCCGAAACUGCAUUCGAUACUACCGUGCUUGAGGACUGGAGAGGAGACUGGAAUUUACGGUGUAGCGGUGAAAUGCGUAGAUAUCGUAAGGAAGACCAGUGGCGAAGGCGGGUCUCUGGACAGUUCCUGACGCUGAGGCACUAAGGCCAGGGGAGCAAACGGG
Molecule: ribosomal RNA, 253 nt
Filed under: uncultured bacterium
Lineage: Bacteria
Description: partial 16S ribosomal RNA
Rfam family: Bacterial small subunit ribosomal RNA
Source: RNAcentral